This 734-nucleotide ribosomal RNA is filed under the name uncultured bacterium. RNAcentral describes it as "bacterial SSU rRNA". It matches the Rfam family "Bacterial small subunit ribosomal RNA", at positions 94 to 826 of the family's 1533-position model. The record is from RNAcentral.
ACCGGCGCACGGGUGAGUAACACGUAUCCAACCUUCCCAUCACUCGGGGAUAGCCUUUCGAAAGAAAGAUUAAUACCCGAUAGUACUUUUUUGAGGCAUCUUAAGAAAGUUAAAGAUUUAUUGGUGAUGGAUGGGGAUGCGUUCCAUUAGAUUGUUGGUGAGGUAACGGCUCACCAAGUCUUCGAUGGAUAGGGGUUCUGAGAGGAAGGUCCCCCACAUUGGUACUGAGACACGGACCAAACUCCUACGGGAGGCAGCAGUGAGGAAUAUUGGUCAAUGGGCGAGAGCCUGAACCAGCCAAGUAGCGUGAAGGAUGAAGGUCCUAUGGAUUGUAAACUUCUUUUAUAGUAGAAUAAAGUGAUCCACGUGUGGAUUUUUGUAUGUAUACUAUGAAUAAGGAUCGGCUAACUCCGUGCCAGCAGCCGCGGUAAUACGGAGGAUCCGAGCGUUAUCCGGAUUUAUUGGGUUUAAAGGGUGCGUAGGCGGAAAAAUAAGUCAGUUGUGAAAGUUUGCGGCUCAACCGUAAAAUUGCAGUUGAUACUGUUUUUCUUGAGUGUACAUAAGGUAGGCGGAAUUCGUGGUGUAGCGGUGAAAUGCUUAGAUAUCACGAAGAACUCCAAUUGCGAAGGCAGCUUACCGGGGUACAACUGACGCUGAGGCACGAAAGUGUGGGUAUCAAACAGGAUUAGAUACCCUGGUAGUCCACACAGUAAACGAUGAAUACUCGCUGUUUG